Molecule: long non-coding RNA, 394 nt
Organism: Patella vulgata (common limpet)
Lineage: Eukaryota; Metazoa; Mollusca; Gastropoda; Patellidae
Exons: 3
Source: RefSeq, a predicted model, not a curated record
CGCCCAUUUUAAUUGGCCGAAGGACGUGUGGCUAAUAGUAAUAUGGCGGGUGGACAAACUGACCAAACAGUAUAUUUCGAGGUAUUGGAGAUUGCAGUAGAUUUUAGCAAUACAAUCCAGUGAUAGUGCAGUCUAUUUGCUUUAAAAGGAAAUCUGAAUUCGUACAAAGACCUACAACAAAAUCCAGGGGAUGUCAGCUGUUUCGUAACCUUGCUGUUUCGUACUUAGUUCAUUCGUACCUCACAUGAGCCGUUUCGUACUUCACUUCGUACCUCAAAUUGAUUCAUACCUUUUCCUAUGUUGUUGAAAUCAGUUAAAAGAAAUUGAAAUAAAGGUGAAACGAUUUGAUCAAAUCCAACGGCUACGCUAAAUUUAUAUUACACAGCCUGCCCAA